Oncorhynchus tshawytscha (Chinook salmon) is the source of this 709-nucleotide long non-coding RNA. Lineage: Eukaryota; Metazoa; Chordata; Actinopteri; Salmoniformes; Salmonidae. The record is from Ensembl.
CACUCAGAGAGCUAGCCCUAUAGUAAGUCAGAGAGCUAGCCCUAUAGUCAGUCAGAGAGCCAGCCAGCCCUAUAGUCAGUCAGAGAGCUAGCCCUAUAGUCCGUCAGAGAGCCAGCCCUAUAGUCCGUCAGAGAGCCAGCCCUAUAGUCAGGUAGCCCUAUAGUCAGUCAGAGAGCUAGCAAUAUGGUCAGUCAGAGAGCCGGCCAGCCCUAUAGUCAGUCAGAGAGCUAGCCCUAUAGUCAGGUAGCCCUAUAGUCAGUCAGAGAGCCAGCCCAGUAGUCAAUCAAAGAGCCAGCCAUAUAGUCAGUCAGAGAGCCAGCCCUGUAGUCAGUCAGAGAGCCAGCCCUGUAGUCAGUCAGAGAGCCAGCCCUAUAGUCAGUCAGAGAGCCAGCCCUAUCGUCAGUCAGGGAGCCAGCCAGCCAUAUAGUCAGUCAGAGAGCCAGCCAGCCCUAUAGUCAGUCAAGGAGCCAGCCCUAUAGUCAGUCAGAGAGCUAGCCCUAUAGUCAGUCAGAGAGCCAGCCCUAUAGUCAGGUAGCCCUAUAGUCAGUCAGAGAGCCAGCCCUGUAGUCAAGAAGAGAGCCAGCCCUAUAGUCAGUCAGGGAGCCAGCCAGCCAUAUAGUCAGUCAGAGAGCCAGCCAGCCCUAUAGUCAAGAAGAGAGCCAGCCCUAUAGUCAGUCAGGGAGCCAGCCAGCCAUAUAGUCAGUCAGAG